RNAcentral lists this ribosomal RNA (401 nucleotides) under uncultured bacterium. Its description in RNAcentral is "bacterial SSU rRNA". It matches the Rfam family "Bacterial small subunit ribosomal RNA", at positions 356 to 774 of the family's 1533-position model. The record is from RNAcentral.
GGGGAAUAUUGGGCAAUGGAGGCAACUCUGACCCAGCCAUGCCGCGUGGGUGACGAAGGUCUUCGGAUUGUAAAGCCCUUUCGGCGGGGACGACGAUGACGGUACCCGCAGAAGAAGCCCCGGCUAACUUCGUGCCAGCAGCCGCGGUAAUACGAAGGGGGCUAGCGUUGUUCGGAAUUACUGGGCGUAAAGGGCGUGUAGGCGGCCCGCUAAGUCAGGUGUGAAAUUCCUGGGCUCAACCCAGGACGUGCACUUGAGACUGACGGGCUUGAGUCCGGGAGAGGAUGGUGGAACUCCCAGUGUAGAGGUGAAAUUCGUAGAUAUUGGGAAGAACACCCGUGGCGAAGGCGGCCAUCUGGACCGGUACUGACGCUAAGGCGCGACAGCGUGGGGAGCAAACA